RNAcentral lists this ribosomal RNA (269 nucleotides) under uncultured prokaryote. RNAcentral describes it as "partial 16S ribosomal RNA". It matches the Rfam family "Bacterial small subunit ribosomal RNA", at positions 355 to 638 of the family's 1533-position model. The record is from RNAcentral.
UGGGGAAUAUUGGGCAAUGGGCGGAAGCCUGACCCAGCGACGCCGCGUGGGGGAAGAAGUCUUUCGGGAUGUAAACCCUUGUUGUACGGGACGAAGGAAGUGACGGUACCGUACGAGGAAGCCCCGGCAAACUACGUGCCAGCAGCCGCGGUAAUACGUAGGGGGCGAGCGUUGUCCGGAAUCACUGGGCGUAAAGCGCACGGAGGCGGGCUGUCAAGUCGGGCGUUAAAGGCACGGGCGCAACCUGUGCAUGUCGGUCGAUACUGGCG